Non-coding RNA from Podarcis lilfordi (Lilford's wall lizard), 74 nucleotides. Lineage: Eukaryota; Metazoa; Chordata; Lepidosauria; Squamata; Lacertidae. The record is from the annotation of a GenBank genome assembly.
GCCUGGAUAGGUCAGUUGGUUAGAGUGUGGUGUUGAUAAUGCCAAGCUUACAGGUUCAACCCCCGUAUGGGACA